This 253-nucleotide ribosomal RNA is filed under the name uncultured bacterium. Its description in RNAcentral is "partial 16S ribosomal RNA". It matches the Rfam family "Bacterial small subunit ribosomal RNA", at positions 524 to 776 of the family's 1533-position model. The record is from RNAcentral.
UACGAGGGGUGCAAGCGUUAUUCGGAAUAAUUGGGCGUAAAGGGUGCGUAGACGGUAUGUUUAGUCUGUUAUUAAAUUCUCCGGCUUAACCGGGGGGCUGUAAUGGAAACUGGCAAACUAGAGGAUGCGAGAGAGAAGUGGAAUUCCCGGAGUAGCGGUAAAAUGCGUAGAUCUCGGGAGGAACACCGAUGGCGAAGGCAGCUUCUUGGCUCAUUUCUGACGUUGAUGCACGAAAGCGUGGGGAGCAAACAGG